UACAGAGGCCUCGAGCGUUAGGCGGAAUCACUGGGCUUAAAGCGUGUGUAGGUGGAUGCCUAAGUACCUUGUGAAAUCCCAUGGCUUAACCAUGGAAUUGCUUGGUAUACUGGGUGUCUUGAGCCACUCAGGGGCUACUGGAACAAACGGUGGAGCGGUGAAAUGCGUAGAUAUCGUUUGGAACGCCAAUGGUGAAAACAAGUAGCUGGGGGUGUGCUGACACUGAGACACGAAAGCCAGGGGAGCAAACGGG
Molecule: ribosomal RNA, 253 nt
Filed under: uncultured bacterium
Lineage: Bacteria
Description: partial 16S ribosomal RNA
Rfam family: Bacterial small subunit ribosomal RNA
Source: RNAcentral